UGGGGGAUCGUCUAGCGGUAGGACAGCGGACUCUGACUCCGCGAACCGUGGUUCGAAUCCACGUCCCCCAGCCA
Molecule: transfer RNA, 74 nt
Filed under: Gammaproteobacteria bacterium
Lineage: Bacteria; Pseudomonadati; Pseudomonadota; Gammaproteobacteria
Also listed under: 1 other name
Description: tRNA-Gln
Rfam family: tRNA
About the family: Transfer RNA (tRNA) molecules are approximately 80 nucleotides in length.
Source: RNAcentral